UACCUGCAGCCCGAGUGGUGGCCGUUAUUAUUGGGCCUAAAACGUCCGUAGCCGGUUGGGUAGAUGCCUGUGUAAAUCGCACGGCUUAACCGUUCGAACUGCGGGUAGACCGCCCGACUAGGGACCGGGAGAGUCACGAAGUACUCCGGGGGUAGAGGUGAAAUGCGUAGAUAUCUGGAGGAAUACCGGUGGCGAAGGCGGCAUCCUGGACCGAGAUUGACACUGAGGAGCGAAAGCCAGGGGAGCAAACGGG
RNAcentral lists this ribosomal RNA (253 nucleotides) under uncultured bacterium. Its description in RNAcentral is "partial 16S ribosomal RNA". It matches the Rfam family "Bacterial small subunit ribosomal RNA", at positions 524 to 776 of the family's 1533-position model. The record is from RNAcentral.